UCUCCGUAGGUGAACCUGCGGAGGGAUCAUUAUAGAGUUCAUGCACUAACGGGUAGAACUCCCAUCCUAUGUUAUUAUUACUAUGUUGCUUUGGCCGGACGUUAGGCUCCGGCUCGAGUACCCGCCCCGGCUGGUAAGCGCCCGCCAGAGGACCUACAACCCUGAAUAUUAGUGUCGUCCGAGUACUAUUUAAUAGUUAAAACUUUCAACAACGGAUCUCUUGGUUCUG
This 229-nucleotide unclassified non-coding RNA is filed under the name plant metagenome. RNAcentral describes it as "partial contains small subunit ribosomal RNA, internal transcribed spacer 1, and 5.8S ribosomal RNA". The record is from RNAcentral.